RNAcentral lists this unclassified non-coding RNA (637 nucleotides) under Hevea brasiliensis (rubber tree). The record is from RNAcentral. Lineage: Eukaryota; Viridiplantae; Streptophyta; Magnoliopsida; Malpighiales; Euphorbiaceae.
GGCUUUGGAGAAAGAUGAGGUGACAGAGGUGGCUUUAGAGAAUGAGGUGGCAGAGGCAUUGGAAGUCACAAAGGGAGAAGCAGAAAUUUGUAUGCCAGAGGGUACUGGCGAUGAGGAAGUGGUCAUGACUGCAAAGGAAAAUGAGAAUGAUGAAAUUUUGGCUGGAAAUGAUAAUAUUGAGGGGACGGAGAAUGGCGAAGCAGUGACAGAGGCAGAUGUUUUAACUGUUGAAGGUAGUGUAGGUUUAGGAAAAAAUGGGGAAAUGGAGGAAGUUAAGUGCGAGGAAGUGGGAAUUACUCCUGUUGUGUUAGAUGAUUCAGGAGGGAUCACUCUAGAAAAAGAAGCUGAAGAAAUGGAAACUGACCAUAAAACUGCUAAUGCAGAAGAAAAUGAUGAUAUGGUGUCACAUGUAGAUAUUGCAGCUGUUGAAGCUGGAGUAAAAUUGGAGAAAGAUGUCGAAAUGGAUACAAUUAAGCACGAAGAAGUGGAAUAUACUCCUCUGGCUGAAGAGGACAAAGGGGCAGGUGCUGAGGACGAGGCUGCUAAUGGGGAAAAAGUGGUAGUGACUCAAAAUGAGGAAGAUGAUGAAAUGGUGACACAGGUAGAUAUUUCAGCUGUUGAAGCUAGAAUAGAGCCU